Molecule: ribosomal RNA, 307 nt
Filed under: uncultured bacterium
Lineage: Bacteria
Description: partial 16S ribosomal RNA
Rfam family: Bacterial small subunit ribosomal RNA
Source: RNAcentral
AGACAGCAGUCGCCACGGUAAUACAGAGGGUGCGAGCGUUAAUCGGAUUUACUGGGCGUAAAGCGUGCGUAGGCGGCUUCUUAAGUCGGAUGUGAAAUCCCUGAGCUUAACUUAGGAAUUGCAUUCGAUACUGGGAAGCUAGAGUAUGGGAGAGGAUGGUAGAAUUCCAGGUGUAGCGGUGAAAUGCGUAGAGAUCUGGAGGAAUACCGAUGGCGAAGGCAGCCAUCUGGCCUAAUACUGACGCUGAGGUACGAAAGCAUGGGGAGCAAACAGGAUUAGAGACCCCCGUAGUCCCUGUCUCUUAUAC